Molecule: ribosomal RNA, 447 nt
Filed under: uncultured bacterium
Lineage: Bacteria
Description: bacterial SSU rRNA
Rfam family: Bacterial small subunit ribosomal RNA
Source: RNAcentral
UCGGGAAUUUUGUGCAAUGGGCGAAAGCCUGACACAGCAACGCCGCGUGAAGGAUGAAGUCCCUCGGGAUGUAAACUUCGUAAGAAUAGGAAGAAUAAAUGACGGUACUAUUUGUAAGGUCCGGCUAACUACGUGCCAGCAGCCGCGGUAAUACGUAGGGACCAAGCGUUGUUCGGAUUUACUGGGCGUAAAGGGCGCGUAGGCGGCAUGACAAGUCACUUGUGAAAUCUCUGGGCUUAACCCAGAACGGCCAAGUGAUACUGUCGCGCUAGAGUGCAGAAGGGGCAAUCGGAAUUCUUGGUGUAGCGGUGAAAUGCGUAGAUAUCAAGAGGAACACCUGAGGUGAAGACGGGUUGCUGGGCUGACACUGACGCUGAGGCGCGAAAGCCAGGGGAGCAAACGGGAUUAGAUACCCUCGUAGUCCCUGAGCGGGCUGGCAAGGCGCAU